Molecule: RNA transcript, 2351 nt
Organism: Nicotiana tabacum (common tobacco)
Lineage: Eukaryota; Viridiplantae; Streptophyta; Magnoliopsida; Solanales; Solanaceae
Source: RefSeq, a predicted model, not a curated record
ACCCGCAUGGAAAUAACUCCUAAAAAAUAGACCAAAAAUAAUUUUAGUGAAUUUUAGGAGUUUUUCUUUUUUUAGUUGCAUUCCAUGCAUCUUUAACAUUUUAAAAUUCAUAAAAAAAUUAUCACAUUUUUUAUUCCAUGCCAUCUUAAGUUUAAUUUGCAUUUAGGAAUUUAAUUUCAUAAUUUAAUUGCAUUCAUUAAACAAAAAUCACAAUAAAAAAAUUACUAUAAUAGUCAUGUUCAUAUUUUAGCUUUUAUUUUAAAUUAAUUAGUGUUAAAUUAGUAAAAAUAAGUAAGAUUAACUUUACAAAAUAAUUUAAGGUAGAGCGUAAUUUAGGAUUUUAUUUAGAAGGAAUUACAACCCAUGUCACUUGGCCCAAUAGCCCAACCGAAAAUGGCCCACAUUUGAAGCUCUUACCCUAUUUAGCCCAUGUUGUACAUAACUUGAAAGAAGAUUUUCAGCCUUUAGCCCAUUAUUAAAGACAUACUUUUAGAGUUUUUAUUAUUUUCUUCUUUCUUCAUUCCCUUCUCUCUCUCACCGCCUCUCACUUCUUUCUUUCUAACCCACAUAGAUCCCUCAUCUUCUCUUAACCUAGCCCCCGCAUUCCCCCUCCUCUACCCCCCACGUAGUUCUGCCAUUAAUGGCUCGAAGAAGGUCGGGCUCCUACUCCGUUGUCCAUGGUGGCAAGCAGAAGAAUGAAGAAAUUUGAAAGAAACAUGAAAAUACACACAGAUCUGAAAAUAAAUAGCUCUCAAACUUGAUUUGCACCAACAAACAACCACUAAUUUUGGAAAAUUUUGAAGUUCUGGUAAUUUUGGAAGAUUUUGAAGUUUGAAGUUCUGGAAAAUCAUAACUAUGUAGCAGGUUGUAUCGACACUGUAUAAUAGUGUAUAAUUGUGUAUAUGGAUAUACAAACACCUCUUAUACACUAUUAUACAUGUUUAUACAAUAUUGUAUAAUUGUGUAUAAAUGUGUAUAUUUGUGUAUAAUGUUGUAUAGAUAUAUAUUUUUCCAGUAUAAUGUUGUUAGCGUGUAAGAGACCUCUACAGAAGUUUGACACUUCCUUCUCUUCUUCUUUUUCGUGUAUAUGCUAUAUGAAACAGAUUUGUACGCGUUGGAGGAAUUCUACAAUUCAUUUAUCAAUUUUUUUUAUUUUUCUUUUAUCCUGUUGGAUUGCUUCAGCAAUUGCACAUAAAAAUGCUUGAAUUUCUUACCUUCAGAUAAUAUGUAUUAUUCAGGAUAGGAUUUUUGAGUUGCGUUGUGGCUUAUUUGCAUUUUUUUAUCAAAUGCUUAAUAAUCAAAGGAAAUCAAGAGAAUGAAAACAACUGGUUGUAUAAAGAGGGAGCAACAACAGUAGUUGAUUGUGUGAAAUAAGCUGUUUUUCGGGAAUUAACCGAUUAUUUUUGGGCUAUAAAUUUGCAAAGUGAUAUCUAGGCUAUUAUGUUGUAAGUCAGGUGUGUGAGUUAUAUUUAUGUGAAAUUAUCCCUUUUAUUUAGCUUGUUUAAUUAAUCAAACUAAUUUUUUUAAAAUCAAUGAAAGAAAGAAAGAACAAAAAAAAAAGUUAUCUUAUUUUGAAUUGGGCCAAGGCCUGCUCCUUCAGACCUGCUCCUUCACAAAAAGAGGAGCGUCGUUCCCCUCAAAAAGUUCCUGACCUCACUCAGCAAAAAAAAAGAGAGAACAAGAGAAUCAGAAUGAUCAGACCUUCCUUUUUUUUUAGAUUAGAUCAGACCUAAGAGAAGUGACCUUCUCCUUCAGGAAAACAGAGAAACCAGAAACUACUAAUUUCACGAGACUGUUGAUCAUUUUAUGGGUUUUCUUUAAAGCUUUUUGAAUCGAAAUUUUUUGUUGUUCUCUGCUGUGCUCAUCUCGCUAUAGCUGGACUUCAUCCUUAAGAGUUCUAGAUCUUCAUUUGAUCUUUGUUCUGCAGUUGUUUCUGCCUUUAGAUAUGGCGGAUGAUGGAUUUGACCACCUGUUGGUCAAGUUUACCUCUGAAAAAGAGACUCAGCUCCCCAGGUUGUAGUUGCCGAGAUUGAUAAUUCUACAGUUUCUUGUAUGUUCGUGACAAUAUGUAGAAACAGUUGGGUCCUAAUUUAGUUUUAAAAUUCAAAAAUUUUAAUUAGAGGCUAGUGGUUGUAUCGUACUGCCAUAAUUGGUUCAACAUUGAUUAAGCUUUAGGAUUAUUUUUGUUAGAUUCCUUAUUUUAUUUUCUUAAAUGCUUUGGAAAUUAAAGGUCUUCUUGGUAGUUCAGAAUACUUAGAAACGCAUGUACAGAUUCUUGUAUUGCUCUUUAAGUGAUUUAAGCAUUCUGCUUGUCCUAUUCGAGAUAGGUGAAGAUGUUCCAUGGGUUUUAA